RNAcentral lists this microRNA (22 nucleotides) under Capitella teleta. RNAcentral's name for it is "Cte-Mir-315_3p* (star (passenger))". The record is from RNAcentral. Lineage: Eukaryota; Metazoa; Annelida; Polychaeta; Capitellidae.
CUUUCAAGUGACAAUCAAGUUG